This 503-nucleotide ribosomal RNA is filed under the name uncultured bacterium. Its description in RNAcentral is "bacterial SSU rRNA". It matches the Rfam family "Bacterial small subunit ribosomal RNA", at positions 29 to 524 of the family's 1533-position model. The record is from RNAcentral.
AGUGAACGCUGGCGGCAGGCCUAAUACAUGCAAGUCGAACGGCAGCACAGCAGAGCUUGCUCUGUGGGUGGCGAGUGGCGGACGGGUGAGGAAUACGUGGGAAUCUGCCCAGUCGUGGGGGAUAACGUAGGGAAACUUACGCUAAUACCGCAUGCGCCCUUCGGGGGAAAGCCGGGGACCUUCGGGCCUGGCGCGAUUGGAUGAGCCCAGUCGGAUUAGCUAGUUGGCGGGUAAAGGCCCACCAAGGCGACGAUCCGUAGCUGGUCUGAGAGGAUGAUCAGCCACACUGGAACUGAGACACGGUCCAGACUCCUACGGGAGGCAGCAGUAGGGAAUAUUGGACAAUGGGCGCAAGCCUGAUCCAGCCAUGCCGCGUGAGUGAAGAAGGCCCUCGGGUUGUAAAGCUCUUUGUCCGGAAAGAAAGCGCCGGGUUAAUACCCUGGUGUCCUGACGGUACCGGAAGAAUAAGCACCGGCUAACUUCGUGCCAGCAGCCGCGGUAAU